GUGAUAUAUGCUAGACCGGGAUACGAAGUUGAUCUUGAUUCUCUUGUCCAAGAUGUUAUUCGGCUAAACUCCUCAGUAAAAGAUACGUGCUCGGACUUGUGCGAGAAAUCUGAUGAUACUGUACAGUAUACAACUGGACAAAGCCGGGCCUCUGUUGAUAAAAGGUGGUCUAGACUAUUGGAACUAAAGAAAUCAAAUUUAUGAUUCAUGGCAUAAAAUAAGAAGUUUCAUAUGUAGAAUAAUCGUCAGUUUUGCUUACUGAUUGUAUGUAUA
This is a long non-coding RNA of Gastrolobium bilobum, 273 nucleotides long. RefSeq lists it as uncharacterized. NCBI's taxonomy places the organism in Eukaryota, Viridiplantae, Streptophyta, Magnoliopsida, Fabales, Fabaceae. The record is from RefSeq and is a predicted model, not a curated record. The transcript is spliced from 3 exons.